CUACGGGGCGCUCCAGUGAGGAAUAUUGCGCAAUGGGGGAAACCCUGACGCAGCAAUACCGCGUGAGUGAAGAAGGCCUUUGGGUCGUAAAGCUCUUUUCUUGGGGAAGAUAGUGACGGUACCCAAGGAAUAAGCACCGGCUAACUCCGUGCCAGCAGCCGCGGUAAUACGGAGGGUGCAAGCGUUGUUCGGAUUUACUGGGCGUAAAGGGCACGUAGGCGGCACAGCAAGUUAAGGGUGAAAUCCCGGGGCUCAACUCCGGAACUGCUCUUAAAACUGCUGAGCUAGAGAUAGUCAGAGGCGGGUGGAAUUCCAGGUGUAGAGGUGAAAUUCGUAGAUAUCUGGAGGAACACCGGUGGCGAAGGCGGCCCGCUGGGGCUAUUCUGACGCUAAGGUGCGAAAGCGUGGGGAGCAAACGGGAUUAGAUACCCUGGUAGUC
This 439-nucleotide ribosomal RNA is filed under the name uncultured bacterium. Its description in RNAcentral is "partial 16S ribosomal RNA". It matches the Rfam family "Bacterial small subunit ribosomal RNA", at positions 339 to 795 of the family's 1533-position model. The record is from RNAcentral.